AGUGAACGCUGGCGGUAGGCCUAACACAUGCAAGUCGAACGGCAGCACAGUAAGCGCUUGCUCUUACGGGUGGCGAGUGGCGGACGGGUGAGGCAUACAUCGGAAUCUAAUUUUUCGUGGGGAAUAACGUAGGGAAACUUACGCUAAUACCGCAUACGUCCUACGGGUGAAAUCAGAGGAUCUUCGGACCUUGCCCGAUUGAAUGAGCCGAGGUCGCAUUAGCUAGUUGGCGGGGUAAGGGCCCACCAAGGCGACGCUCCGUAGCUGGUCUGAGAGGAUGAUCAGCCACACUGGAACUGAGACACGGUCCAGACUCCUACGGGAGGCAGCAGUGGGGAAUAUUGGACAAUGGGCGCAAGCCUGAUGCAGCAAUACCGCGUGGGUGAAGAAGGCCUUCGGGUUGUAAAGCCCUUUUGUUGGGAAAGAAAAGCAGCAGGUGAAUCUCUCGACGUUCUGACGGUACCCAAAGAAUAAGCACCGGCUAACUUCGUG
This 492-nucleotide ribosomal RNA is filed under the name uncultured bacterium. RNAcentral describes it as "partial 16S ribosomal RNA". It matches the Rfam family "Bacterial small subunit ribosomal RNA", at positions 29 to 507 of the family's 1533-position model. The record is from RNAcentral.